CUCCCCAGUGCAAUCCCUUACGUUUGUUGGUAUUGCUUGGUGUGAUUUUCAAAGCCUGCUCUUUCAGCCUGUGCUCUCCCAUUGGAUGGAUCCAAUGGAGAGCUGUAGGCCAGCUCUGUGUGCUGCAUGCUAAAACAGGAAGCUUGUCAGUGUUAGCUAGGAUGAAGAACUUUUCAAAGGAUUUUGAAGUACCGACUAGAAAUGAUCGCUUAACACCAUCUGCCAGUUAUGCUGGGUGCAUCGCAGUGAUCCCAGGUAACACCAGAACUGCUCCUCUGGACCUUAUCAGAAAAACAAGCAAAAACCUCCUGAAAAAGCUGUCCAUUCUUCUACAGGUAGGUAAAAUUACUCUGAACCAAUCCUGUUUCCUGUUCU
Molecule: long non-coding RNA, 375 nt
Organism: Struthio camelus australis
Lineage: Eukaryota; Metazoa; Chordata; Aves; Struthioniformes; Struthionidae
Source: Ensembl